UGCAAGUCGAGCGGUAGCACAGAGAGCUUGCUCUCGGGUGACGAGCGGCGGACGGGUGAGUAAUGUCUGGGAAACUGCCUGAUGGAGGGGGAUAACUACUGGAAACGGUAGCUAAUACCGCAUAAUGUCGCAAGACCAAAGUGGGGGACCUUCGGGCCUCAUGCCAUCAGAUGUGCCCAGAUGGGAUUAGCUAGUAGGUGGGGUAACGGCUCACCUAGGCGACGAUCCCUAGCUGGUCUGAGAGGAUGACCAGCCACACUGGAACUGAGACACGGUCCAGACUCCUACGGGAGGCAGCAGUGGGGAAUAUUGCACAAUGGGCGCAAGCCUGAUGCAGCCAUGCCGCGUGUGUGAAGAAGGCCUUCGGGUUGUAAAGCACUUUCAGCGGGGAGGAAGGCGUUAAGGUUAAUAACCUUGGCGAUUGACGUUACCCGCAGAAGAAGCACCGGCUAACUCCGUGCCAGCAGCCGCGGUAAUACGGAGGGUGCAAGCGUUAAUCGGAAUUACUGGGCGUAAAGCGCACGCAGGCGGUCUGUCAAGUCGGAUGUGAAAUCCCCGGGCUCAACCUGGGAACUGCAUUCGAAACUGGCAGGCUAGAGUCUUGUAGAGGGGGGUAGAAUUCCAGGUGUAGCGGUGAAAUGCGUAGAGAUCUGGAGGAAUACCGGUGGCGAAGGCGGCCCCCUGGACAAAGACUGACGCUCAGGUGCGAAAGCGUGGGGAGCAAACAGGAUUAGAUACCCUGGUAGUCCACGCCGUAAACGAUGUCGAUUUGGAGGUUGUGCCCUUGAGGCGUGGCUUCCGGAGCUAACGCGUUAAAUCGACCGCCUGGGGAGUACGGCCGCAAGGUUAAAACUCAAAUGAAUUGACGGGGGCCCGCACAAGCGGUGGAGCAUGUGGUUUAAUUCGAUGCAACGCGAAGAACCUUACCUGGUCUUGACAUCCACAGAACUUACCAGAGAUGGAUUGGUGCCUUCGGGAACUGUGAGACAGGUGCUGCAUGGCUGUCGUCAGCUCGUGUUGUGAAAUGUUGGGUUAAGUCCCGCAACGAGCGCAACCCUUAUCCUUUGUUGCCAGCGGUUAGGCCGGGAACUCAAAGGAGACUGCCAGUGAUAAACUGGAGGAAGGUGGGGAUGACGUCAAGUCAUCAUGGCCCUUACGACCAGGGCUACACACGUGCUACAAUGGCAUAUACAAAGAGAAGCGACCUCGCGAGAGCAAGCGGACCUCAUAAAGUAUGUCGUAGUCCGGAUUGGAGUCUGCAACUCGACUCCAUGAAGUCGGAAUCGCUAGUAAUCGUAGAUCAGAAUGCUACGGUGAAUACGUUCCCGGGCCUUGUACACACCGCCCGUCACACCAUGGGAGUGGGUUGCAAAAGAAGUAGGUAGCUUAACCUUCGGGAGGGCGCU
This 1406-nucleotide ribosomal RNA is filed under the name Klebsiella pneumoniae. Its description in RNAcentral is "bacterial SSU rRNA". It matches the Rfam family "Bacterial small subunit ribosomal RNA". Lineage: Bacteria; Pseudomonadati; Pseudomonadota; Gammaproteobacteria; Enterobacterales; Enterobacteriaceae. The record is from RNAcentral.